RNAcentral lists this ribosomal RNA (241 nucleotides) under uncultured bacterium. RNAcentral's name for it is "partial 16S ribosomal RNA". It matches the Rfam family "Bacterial small subunit ribosomal RNA", at positions 62 to 334 of the family's 1533-position model. The record is from RNAcentral.
UCGAGUGGGUUUAGGCCCACGGCAAACGGGUGAGUAAUAUCUAGGAACGUACCACUAGUUGAGCAUAACCUACCGAAAGGUAGAGCAAUUCUCAAUGUGAUCGCAAGAUUAAAGUCGCAAGACGCUAGUGAAGCGGCCUGGACACCAUCAGCUUGUUGGUAAGGUAAAAGCUUACCAAGGCUAUGACGGUUAGGGGUCCCGAGAGGGAAAACCCCCACACUGGAACUGAGACACGGUCCAG